Molecule: long non-coding RNA, 366 nt
Filed under: Setaria viridis
Lineage: Eukaryota; Viridiplantae; Streptophyta; Magnoliopsida; Poales; Poaceae
Description: long non-coding RNA (SVIR_LNC000381)
Source: RNAcentral
UGACAGAGGGGUACCUUCCUGGUACGGAAGGGUGUCAAGGUAAACGACAAGGCAUGACUCGUCGUCCUUGGCUAGAGCAGGAGGCUUCAUGUUGGGCCGGUAGAUGAAUCUGCCUUGUGGAAUUGAAAUGAUAACCAGGCCCAGUUGUGGACCUGAUAACGGAGUCUCCUCAUCCAAAUCCAAGUAGUAGUCGAUGUCCUCGAUCAAAUUCGAGUUGAAUUGUGAUCAGGUCCGAGUUGAAUUGUGAUAUGGAUAGGGUAGCCUGGUAGGCAACACCCGAGUUUCAAAGUCCGAACAGGAAUCGACUUGUAUUGUAGACCGAUUUGCAUGAUGGCUUAAGCGCUAGCUCGUGGGAACCAAUCCGAC